AAAGAAAUUUAAAGAAUUAAUUAUAUAUAUUGUUAAAUUCUUGAUUGUUAUAAGUGUGUAAAAUCGUAUGAGUAGAUAAGGGCCCUUUUGUUAAUAUUGGCCUUAACCCUUCAUUAGUGCCUUUCUGAGGUCUUAUGAGGGCGGCUUUUAUUAACAUUUGGAGAACUGUCUAACACAUGAGUUCUUUUCAAGCUGAGUAAGGGGCAUAUAGGUGGUGUCUUAGGUUGAGACCCUGGGUGAUGGGUUCAAAUUGGAUCUCAGAGACACUAUAGACCGUGCGUAAACCACAAUGUGGGAGUAGCCAAUAGGGGCCUAAACCUCAAUGAGGGAGUAGCCUCCGUAGUGUCACCAAAAUGAGUCCUCCCUCUCACUUACCUCUUAAUCUGGCCAUCUAGCCUUCUGAAACAAAGGGAAGUGACUUAUGUCUAGGCGACUAUCCCUAGAUCGUAUCUCACCAAUAGUAGUGGUUUCUAUUGGGCUCGACUUACAACUUGUAAUCAAUUGAGAUAUUAACUUUAUUUUGUAAAGAUAAUAAGAUACUUGAACAUAACCUCCACUUGUA
This 562-nucleotide long non-coding RNA is filed under the name Rosa chinensis. Its description in RNAcentral is "sRNA RchiOBHm_Chr0c04g0497951". The record is from RNAcentral. Lineage: Eukaryota; Viridiplantae; Streptophyta; Magnoliopsida; Rosales; Rosaceae.